Molecule: ribosomal RNA, 254 nt
Filed under: uncultured bacterium
Lineage: Bacteria
Description: partial 16S ribosomal RNA
Rfam family: Bacterial small subunit ribosomal RNA
Source: RNAcentral
UACGUAGGGUGCAAGCGUUGUCCGGAAUUAUUGGGCGUAAAGAGCUCGUAGGCGGUUUGUCGCGUCGAAUGUGAAAACCCGGGGCUCAACCCCGGGCCUGCAUUCGAUACGGGCAGACUAGAGUUCGGUAGGGGAGUCUGGAAUUCCUGGUGUAGCGGUGAAAUGCGUAGAUAUCUGGAGGAACACCGGUGGCGAAGGCGGCAUCCUGGACCAACACUGACGCUGAGUGAGCGAAAGCCAGGGGAGCAAACGGG